GACGAACGCUGGCGGCGUGCCUAACACAUGCAAGUCGAACGCACACUCUAUACCGUCGUUUGCUUCACCAUAGACUGUGACUUGCGAACGGGUGAGUAACCCGUGGCUACCCUGCCUGGUAGCGGGGGAUAACUAUUGUUAACGAUAGAUAAUAUCGCAUAAUAGUAAUUAUUGCAUGAUAAUUAAUUGAAAGGUGCAAUUGCACCACUACCAGAUGGAUUUGUGUUGUAUUAGGUAGUAGGCGAGGUAACGGGCCACCUAGGCGACGAUACAUAGCCGACCUGAGAGGGUGGUCGGCCACACUGGGACUGAGACACGGCCCAGACUCCUACGGGAGGCAGCCGUAGGGAAACUUCGGCAAUGGGGGGAAGUCUGGCCGAGCAACGCCGCGGGAGGGAAGAAGGUUUUCGGGUCGUAAAGCUCUGUUGUAAGGGAAGAACGAGUGUGAGGGUGGAAAGUUCACACUGUGACGGUAUCUUACCAGAAAGGAACGGCUAACUACGUG
RNAcentral lists this ribosomal RNA (505 nucleotides) under uncultured bacterium. Its description in RNAcentral is "partial 16S ribosomal RNA". It matches the Rfam family "Bacterial small subunit ribosomal RNA", at positions 28 to 507 of the family's 1533-position model. The record is from RNAcentral.